GACGAACGCUGGCGGCGUGCCUAAUACAUGCAAGUAGAACGCUGAAGGAGGAGCUUGCUUCUCCGGAUGAGUUGCGAACGGGUGAGUAACGCGUAGGUAACCUGCCUGGUAGCGGGGGAUAACUAUUGGAAACGAUAGCUAAUACCGCAUAAGAGUAGAUGUCGCAUGACAUUUGCUUAAAAGGUGCAACUGCACCACUACCAGAUGGACCUGCGUUGUAUUAGCUAGUUGGUGAGGUAGCGGCUCACCAAGGCAACGAUACAUAGCCGACCUGAGAGGGUGAUCGGCCACACUGGGACUGAGACACGGCCCAGACUCCUACGGGAGGCAGCAGUAGGGAAUCUUCGGCAAUGGACGGAAGUCUGACCGAGCAACGCCGCGUGAGUGAAGAAGGUUUUCGGAUCGUAAAGCUCUGUUGUAAGAGAAGAACGAGUGUGAGAGUGGAAAGUUCACACUGUGACGGUAUCUUACCAGAAAGGGACGGCUAACUACGU
This 494-nucleotide ribosomal RNA is filed under the name uncultured bacterium. Its description in RNAcentral is "partial 16S ribosomal RNA". It matches the Rfam family "Bacterial small subunit ribosomal RNA", at positions 28 to 506 of the family's 1533-position model. The record is from RNAcentral.